Molecule: ribosomal RNA, 157 nt
Filed under: Phyllachora arundinellae
Lineage: Eukaryota; Fungi; Ascomycota; Sordariomycetes; Phyllachorales; Phyllachoraceae
Description: 5.8S ribosomal RNA
Rfam family: 5.8S ribosomal RNA
About the family: 5.8S ribosomal RNA (5.8S rRNA) is a component of the large subunit of the eukaryotic ribosome.
Source: RNAcentral
AAACCUUUAACAAUGAAUCUCUUGGUUCUGGUCCCGAUGAAGAACGCAGCGAAACGCGAAAUGUAAUGUGAAUUGCAGAGCUUAGUGAAUCAUUGAAUUUUUGAACGCAUAUUGCGCCUGCUAUUUUAUAGCGGGCAUACCUGUUCGAGCGUCAUUA